GACCCCCUAGCUCAAUGGCAGAGCAGUGGACUUUUAAUCCAACGGUUCAGGGUUCGAGUCCCUGGGGGGUCACCG
This 75-nucleotide transfer RNA is filed under the name uncultured Thermomicrobiales bacterium. Its description in RNAcentral is "tRNA-Lys-TTT". It matches the Rfam family "tRNA". From Rfam's summary of the family: Transfer RNA (tRNA) molecules are approximately 80 nucleotides in length. Their secondary structure includes four short double-helical elements and three loops (D, anti-codon, and T loops). The record is from RNAcentral. Lineage: Bacteria; Pseudomonadati; Thermomicrobiota; Thermomicrobia; Thermomicrobiales.